AUACAGAGGGUGCAAGCGUUAUCCGGAAUCAUUGGGUUUAAAGGGUCCGUAGGCGGGCGAUUAAGUCAGAGGUGAAAUCCCACAGCUCAACUGUGGAACUGCCUUUGAUACUGGUUGUCUUGAGUUACAGUGAAGUAGAUAGAAUGUGUAGUGUAGCGGUGAAAUGCAUAGAUAUUACACAGAAUACCGAUUGCGAAGGCAGUCUACUAACUGUAUACUGACGCUAAUGGACGAAAGCGUGGGGAGCGAACAGGAUUAGAUACCCCUGUAGUCC
RNAcentral lists this ribosomal RNA (274 nucleotides) under uncultured bacterium. RNAcentral's name for it is "partial 16S ribosomal RNA". It matches the Rfam family "Bacterial small subunit ribosomal RNA", at positions 523 to 796 of the family's 1533-position model. The record is from RNAcentral.